UAGGACGUCGUCUAACGGAAAGACACUAGACUUUGAUUCUAGUGAAGGUUGUUCGAUUCAACCCGUCCUAG
This 71-nucleotide transfer RNA is filed under the name Meira sp. (in: smut fungi & allies). RNAcentral's name for it is "Meira sp. tRNA-Gln". It matches the Rfam family "tRNA". Rfam says of the family: Transfer RNA (tRNA) molecules are approximately 80 nucleotides in length. Their secondary structure includes four short double-helical elements and three loops (D, anti-codon, and T loops). Further hydrogen bonds mediate the characteristic L-shaped molecular structure. tRNAs have two regions of fundamental functional importance: the anti-codon, which is responsible for specific mRNA codon recognition, and the 3' end, to which the tRNAs corresponding amino acid is attached (by aminoacyl-tRNA synthetases). tRNAs cope with the degeneracy of the genetic code in two manners: having more than one tRNA (with a specific anti-codon) for a particular amino acid; and 'wobble' base-pairing, i.e. permitting non-standard base-pairing at the 3rd anti-codon position. The record is from RNAcentral. Lineage: Eukaryota; Fungi; Basidiomycota; Exobasidiomycetes; Exobasidiales; Brachybasidiaceae.